Molecule: ribosomal RNA, 763 nt
Filed under: uncultured Streptococcus sp.
Lineage: Bacteria; Bacillati; Bacillota; Bacilli; Lactobacillales; Streptococcaceae
Description: bacterial SSU rRNA
Rfam family: Bacterial small subunit ribosomal RNA
Source: RNAcentral
GACGAACGCUGGCGGCGUGCCUAACACAUGCAAGUAGAACGCUGAAGGAGGAGCUUGCUUCUCUGGAUGAGUUGCGAACGGGUGAGUAACGCGUAGGUAACCUGCCUGGUAGCGGGGGAUAACUAUUGGAAACGAUAGCUAAUACCGCAUAAGAGUAGAUGUUGCAUGACAUUUGCUUAAAAGGUGCAAUUGCAUCACUACCAGAUGGACCUGCGUUGUAUUAGCUAGUUGGUGGGGUAACGGCUCACCAAGGCGACGAUACAUAGCCGACCUGAGAGGGUGAUCGGCCACACUGGGACUGAGACACGGCCCAGACUCCUACGGGAGGCAGCAGUAGGGAAUCUUCGGCAAUGGACGGAAGUCUGACCGAGCAACGCCGCGUGAGUGAAGAAGGUUUUCGGAUCGUAAAGCUCUGUUGUAAGAGAAGAACGAGUGUGAGAGUGGAAAGUUCACACUGUGACGGUAUCUUACCAGAAAGGGACGGCUAACUACGUGCCAGCAGCCGCGGUAAUACGUAGGUCCCGAGCGUUGUCCGGAUUUAUUGGGCGUAAAGCGAGCGCAGGCGGUUAGAUAAGUCUGAAGUUAAAGGCUGUGGCUUAACCAUAGUACGCUUUGGAAACUGUUUAACUUGAGUGCAAGAGGGGAGAGUGGAAUUCCAUGUGUAGCGGUGAAAUGCGUAGAUAUAUGGAGGAACACCGGUGGCGAAAGCGGCUCUCUGGCUUGUAACUGACGCUGAGGCUCGAAAGCGUGGGGAGCAAACAGG